AACGAACGCUGGCGGCAGGCCUAACACAUGCAAGUCGAGCGCACCCUUCGGGGCGAGCGGCGGACGGGUUAGUAACGCGUGGGAAUGUACCCUUUACUACGGAAUAGCCUCUGGAAACGGAGAGUAAUACCGUAUGUGCCCUUCGGGGGAAAGAUUUAUCGGUAAAGGAUCAGCCCGCGUAAGAUUAGAUAGUUGGUGGGGUAAUGGCCUACCAAGUCUACGAUCUUUAGCUGGUUUUAGAGGAUGAUCAGCAACACUGGGACUGAGACACGGCCCAGACUCCUACGGGAGGCAGCAGUGGGGAAUCUUAGACAAUGGGCGCAAGCCUGAUCUAGCCAUGCCGCGUGUGUGAUGAAGGCCUUAGGGUCGUAAAGCACUUUCGCCAGGGAUGAUAAUGACAGUACCUGGUAAAGAAACCCCGGCUAACUCCGUGCCAGCAGCCGCGGUAAUACGGAGGGGGUUAGCGUUGUUCGGAAUUACUGGGCGUAAAGCGUACGUAGGCGGAUCAGAAAGUAAGGGGUGAAAUCCCAGGGCUCAACCCUGGAACUGCCUCUUAAACUCCUGGUCUUGAGUUCGAGAGAGGUGAGUGGAAUUCCGAGUGUAGAGGUGAAAUUCGUAGAUAUUCGGAGGAACACCAGUGGCGAAGGCGGCUCACUGGCUCGAUACUGACGCUGAGGUACGAAAGUGUGGGGAGCAAACAGG
RNAcentral lists this ribosomal RNA (702 nucleotides) under uncultured bacterium. RNAcentral describes it as "bacterial SSU rRNA". It matches the Rfam family "Bacterial small subunit ribosomal RNA", at positions 28 to 776 of the family's 1533-position model. The record is from RNAcentral.